AUACGGAGGGGGCUAGCGUUGUUCGGAAUUACUGGGCGUAAAGCGCACGUAGGCGGUUUAUCAAGUUAGGCGUGAAAGCCCUGGGCUCAACCCAGGAACUGCGUUUCAUACUGAUAAGCUAGAGACCGGGAGAGGGUGGCGGAAUUCCCAGUGUAGAGGUGAAAUUCGUAGAUAUUGGGAAGAACACCGGUUGCGAAGGCGGCCACCUGGACCGGAACUGACGCUGAGGUGCGAAAGCGUGGGGAGCAAACAGGAUUAGAAACCCCAGUAGUCC
RNAcentral lists this ribosomal RNA (274 nucleotides) under uncultured bacterium. RNAcentral's name for it is "partial 16S ribosomal RNA". It matches the Rfam family "Bacterial small subunit ribosomal RNA", at positions 523 to 796 of the family's 1533-position model. The record is from RNAcentral.